RNAcentral lists this long non-coding RNA (1158 nucleotides) under Helianthus annuus (common sunflower). Its description in RNAcentral is "hypothetical non coding rna". The record is from RNAcentral. Lineage: Eukaryota; Viridiplantae; Streptophyta; Magnoliopsida; Asterales; Asteraceae.
UUCCUCUCAUUUCUCCUCUACUUCUACUUUGGAGCUCUCUCAAUCUGAAUUGGGACUUGUCUUCUUUGUAGAAAAGAUAGCAAGGACUUGGGGUGCCGUUUGAUUCCCUGAUCACUCUAGCUUUGCUUGGUUGUUGUUCAAGACUUCUAAGCACGCUCAGCCAGCAUAUGGACACAUUGUACAUUAGUUGAUGGCAUUUGAUGAUGAUAUUGGUGUACUCUCACAUAGGAAUGGACCAGGCCUUAGCGACUUUAAAACUUGAAAGAUAACAGUUGUAUUUAUAUAAUUUGUAUCAAAAACAUUUAGUUCAAUAAUUCAAUAAAACAAAACUGUUUACUCCAUGGUUGUGAAACAAUGAUUCUGUUACAACACUCCCCGACGUUUCCGCCACGUUUUGUUGUUUUACGUGGUCGGGGUGUGACAGUUUUCCAACUUUGGUUUGUUUAUCAAGCGUUGCGUUGCGUUUAAUUGAGUUGCGAGUAAGCGUUUGAGCGUAUAAGCGUUGCGUUGAUAACCACAUAACAUUCAACAAAUAAUCACACAAAUAACACACAUAAUACAGUUAAAUCCGCGUUUCGAUUCUGCGUUGAGUUUGCAUCGUGAUAGCGUUUAGGUAACAAGCGUUUAAAUAAGCGAUGCAAAUUGCGAUAAAAUUCGUUUAGGUAAGUAGCAUUAUAAGUAGCGUUUAAAUGUGACGACUGCGAUUGAAAAAACGUAGUAAUGUGCUUUUAAAAUGCAUUAAAAAUGUAGUUUAACCCAUAGCAUUAAUCGAAUCCCAAGAGUACAAGCGUUUACAAAAGAAAUACGAUCACAGUAGGAACAACCGAAGUACGGGUUGUUACAAGAAGCACACAAAAGAUAUAAUAAGAAGAGGUUUGGUGCAAAUGAGGCACCCCAAAAACCAAACACCCAUUAAAUAACCAAAGAGUGAACAACCCACAAAAAUAAUGUUACAACUCACAAAAGCAGAGAACAAAACCGGAAGUACAACCACCUAAAGCCAAAACAUGUUGCUAAUUAACAAUACAUAAAUAUGGCAUUCAAAAAGUUUGUGUAACAAUCCUCAAGAAAACCGACACCCUCGAUUAUUUUUCCGACACCCUAAAAAUAUUUAAAAUGUCCGAAUAUGUCUUUAAAUAUACCCCAUAUGUGAAAACG